AUUGAACGCUGGCGGAAUGCUUUACACAUGCAAGUCGAACGGCAGCACGGGGGCAACCCUGGUGGCGAGUGGCGAACGGGUGAGUAAUACAUCGGAACGUGCCCAGUCGUGGGGGAUAACGUAGCGAAAGUUACGCUAAUACCGCAUACGAUCUACGGAUGAAAGCGGGGGACCGUAAGGCCUCGCGCGAUUGGAGCGGCCGAUGUCAGAUUAGGUAGUUGGUGAGGUAAAGGCUCACCAAGCCGACGAUCUGUAGCUGGUCUGGGAGGACGACCAGCCACACUGGGACUGAGACACGGCCCAGACUCCUACGGGAGGCAGCAGUGGGGAAUUUUGGACAAUGGGCGCAAGCCCGAUCCAGCCAUUCCGCGUGCAGGACGAAGGCCUUCGGGUUGUAAACUGCUUUUGUACGGAACGAAAAGGCUCUGGUUAAUACCUGGGGCUCAUGACGGUACCGUAAGAAUAAGCACCGGCUAACUACGUGCCAGCCGCCGCGGUAA
RNAcentral lists this ribosomal RNA (500 nucleotides) under uncultured bacterium. RNAcentral describes it as "partial 16S ribosomal RNA". It matches the Rfam family "Bacterial small subunit ribosomal RNA", at positions 30 to 523 of the family's 1533-position model. The record is from RNAcentral.